Long non-coding RNA from Daktulosphaira vitifoliae (grape phylloxera), 314 nucleotides. RefSeq lists it as uncharacterized. The record is from RefSeq and is a predicted model, not a curated record. The transcript has 6 exons. NCBI's taxonomy places the organism in Eukaryota, Metazoa, Arthropoda, Insecta, Hemiptera, Phylloxeridae.
AAUAUGUUUUACACGUAUACAAUUUUUAUUUUGUUUAUUAUUAGAAGUAUUUCUUAUUAGGCAAUAACUGUACUAUUUUACUUCAAAUCCUUAUAAAUUUUUCAACACUUAAAACAAUAAUGAAAUUGCAUAUUUUAUCAACAUUUUUUGUUAUGGUGUUCAUUUUAUUUCAUUUGGGAGUAUGCUAUUGUGCCAAAAAAGCUAUUGUUAAAAGUUUAACAAAUGUUGAAGAUGAUAAUGCUGAUUCUUCAAAUGAUGAUGGUGGUGAUCCUUCAAAUAAUGAAGAUGAUGGUGCUAAUUCUUCAAAUGGUAAG